Molecule: ribosomal RNA, 804 nt
Filed under: Triticum aestivum (bread wheat)
Lineage: Eukaryota; Viridiplantae; Streptophyta; Magnoliopsida; Poales; Poaceae
Description: partial small subunit ribosomal RNA
Source: RNAcentral
AUGAAGGCGAGACGGUGGGACGCCAUGGUUGGCCGGAUCAAGGCGACGGUAGUGGUUGCCGGCGCGAAUGGAGGGAGGGCCGCUGGUGCGGCUGAAGCCGGGGGAGGAGGCCACCAUGCUCGAAGAAGGGUAGAGGCGGCCGCCAUGGUUGGAUCCUGGAGGGAGCGACGGAGGUGUGAGACCCUGGUAGGGAGCGGCGUGCGCCACAGGCGCCGACGGGGUAGUUGCAGGAGGGUGGCAGCCUAUAAGGUGGGCCGAUGGGAGACAUGGGGGUUGGGGUGGCUGGCGGCAAGAGGCGCGUUAGGGUCGGGGGACAGCGACGGGGCUGGGGUAACCGGCGGCGAGAGGUGCGCCGGCACUAGGGAGGCCGCGGUUGUUGGGGCGGACCCGGGGCUGCCGGCUGGCGUCAAGUUCGAUCCCACAGAUCAGGAGCUGAUUGAGCACCUUGAGGCCAAAGUGACUCCUGACAGCACGAGAUCUCACCCUCUCAUCGAUUUGUUCAUACCAACCAUCGAGAGCGAGCAUGACAUAUGCUACACCCAUCUGGAGAAACUUCCAGCGUUCAAAAGGGGCACGUGGACGCGUCGCAAGAAACAGUUGAAGUGCAGCAUGCAUGCGAUGUGGCACAAUACCGGCAAUACCUUGCCGGCGGUGGUCAACGGCCGGCAGACGGGCAGUAAAAAGGUUCUGGUGCUGCACACCAACAAGAACUUCGACCAGCAAAGGACCGACUGGGUGAUGCACCAGUACCACCUCGGGGACCUGGAGCAAGAGAAGGAGCGGGAGCUGGUCCUCUGCACCUGA